AAGCAUAUGUUUAACUCAGUUAUGUUUUGAAGUUAAAAAGUAAUUUUUUUAAAAGACCCAUCCAUAAUAUUUACCAAACACAAUUUUAAACGGGGGACUAUCGAAAGAAAGUUAGUUGGUUUUUUGUUUGUUGUUGUUGUUGUUGUUGUUUUUAACGUUGCAACCCUUUGAAAUCAUUAUUAAAAGACACACAAACAUUUAUGGAGUUGUAAUUUCAAUCUUCUGGCUUCAUUGUGUCCUGCUGGAAGGAAACAACUAUGUCUUCCCUUUGCAUCUCCUGAUAUUGAUGAGACUGUUGUGCACAUAGGGGAGAGCCACACAUGGUGGAAUGAAGGGAUGAAGCUGUUAAAGGAAUCGAAUAUGAUAAAACAAACCAAUACACAAAAAGACAACAGAAUGCAAUGUAAUGUCAAGUCCCUGGCAAUAAUUACAUGAGCUGGCUCAGUUAUGUGAAAACGGAUCUCAUCUCAUUAGAAAAGGUGACGGUUGUACACCAAGCAGAGCAAAGCAGAGGAAGGGAGGGAGGCAGAUUGGGGCCUACGGCACAGGAGAGAGGCACAGGGCCAACCUCGCCCGCACUCUCCAGAGCCACCCCCUCCUCCUCUCUCAUGUCUCCGGCUAUCAAUCAAGUCACACAGAGAUGGACAGAGCAGCCUUUUUGGAGCCAAGAGCCAUGUUUCUCCUAAGCUGUUGGUUCCCGGAUUCUUAAAAGAUUUUGCUCUUGCAACAAAAGAAAGCAGUCACACCACUAGUUUGAUGGUUAAUUUUAUGUGUCAACUUGGCUGGGCCAUGGUGCCCAGAUAUGUGGUCAAUCUUUAUUCUGGAUAUUUCCGUGAGGGUAUUUUUGGAUGAGGUUUCCCUGAUGUGGGUGAGCCCCAUCCGAUCUGUUGAAGGCCUGAAGAACACAAAAAGCUGACCUCCUGCAAGUGAGAGAGAAUUCGGCAGCAAACAGCCUUCAGACUUCAUCUGCAACCUCAGCCCUUUCUGGCUCUGCACCAAACUGUCUUUACACCCAAACUGCAGCUCUUUCCUGAGUCUCCAGCCUGCUUACCACCCCCAUCAGAUUUUGGACUCAGCAAACCUCCACUGCCCCGUGAGCAAAUUCCUUAAAAUAUCUACCUAUCUAUCUCCUGUUGGUUUGUUUCUCUGGGAACCCUGACUAAUACAACCACCUUUAUCAUAAACUCGGAAGAGAAUUCUC
Molecule: non-coding RNA, 1201 nt
Organism: Macaca mulatta (Rhesus monkey)
Lineage: Eukaryota; Metazoa; Chordata; Mammalia; Primates; Cercopithecidae
Source: RefSeq, a predicted model, not a curated record